This 128-nucleotide ribosomal RNA is filed under the name Nicotiana tabacum (common tobacco). RNAcentral describes it as "partial 26S ribosomal RNA". It matches the Rfam family "Eukaryotic large subunit ribosomal RNA", at positions 2084 to 2212 of the family's 3401-position model. Lineage: Eukaryota; Viridiplantae; Streptophyta; Magnoliopsida; Solanales; Solanaceae. The record is from RNAcentral.
GCCCCCGGGCGUCGAACAGCCAACUCAGAACUGGUACGGACAAGGGGAAUCCGACUGUUUAAUUAAAACAAAGCAUUGCGAUGGUCCCUGCGGAUGUUUACGCAAUGUGAUUUCUGCCCAGUGCUCUG